CGGGUGAGUAACACGUAGGUAAUUUGCCUUCGGGUGGGGAAUAACAGCCGGAAACGGCUGCUAAUACCGCAUAAUGCAGCGGCUCGACAUCGAGACAGUUGUUAAAGCGGGGGAUCGCAAGACCUCGCGCCUGAAGAAAAGCCUGCGGCAGAUUAGCUAGUUGGCAGGGUAAUGGCCUACCAAGGCGACGAUCUGUAACCGGCCUGAGAGGGCGGUCGGUCACACUGACACUGACAUACGGGUCAGACUCCUACGGGAGGCAGCAGUCGGGAAUUUUGGGCAAUGGGCGAAAGCCUGACCCAGCAACGCCGCGUGAAGGAUGAAAUCCCUCGGGAUGUAAACUUCGUAAGAACAGGAAGAAUAAGGAAGGGUUAAUACUCCUUCUGAUGACGGUACUGUUUGUAAGCUCCGGCUAACUCCGUGCCAGCAGCCGCGGUAAUACGGGGGGAGCAAGCGUUGUUCGGAUUUACUGGGCGUAAAGGGCGCGUAGGCGGCGUGACUAGUCACUUGUGAAAUCUCCGGGCUUAACUCGGAACGGUCAAGUGAUACUGUCGUGCUAGAGUACAGAAGGGGCAACUGGAAUUCUCGGUGUAGCGGUGAAAUGCGUAGAUAUCGAGAGGAAC
This 623-nucleotide ribosomal RNA is filed under the name uncultured bacterium. RNAcentral describes it as "bacterial SSU rRNA". It matches the Rfam family "Bacterial small subunit ribosomal RNA", at positions 103 to 707 of the family's 1533-position model. The record is from RNAcentral.